This 515-nucleotide ribosomal RNA is filed under the name uncultured bacterium. Its description in RNAcentral is "partial 16S ribosomal RNA". It matches the Rfam family "Bacterial small subunit ribosomal RNA", at positions 28 to 523 of the family's 1533-position model. The record is from RNAcentral.
GAUGAACGCUGGCGGCGUGCCUAAUACAUGCAAGUCGAGCGAAUGGAUUAAGAGCUUGCUCUUAUGAAGUUAGCGGCGGACGGGUGAGUAACACGUGGGUAACCUGCCCAUAAGACUGGGAUAACUCCGGGAAACCGGGGCUAAUACCGGAUAACAUUUUGAACCGCAUGGUUCGAAAUUGAAAGGCGGCUUCGGCUGUCACUUAUGGAUGGACCCGCGUCGCAUUAGCUAGUUGGUGAGGUAACGGCUCACCAAGGCAACGAUGCGUAGCCGACCGGGGACGGUGAUCGGCCACACUGGGACUGAGACACGGCCCAGACUCCUACGGGAGGCAGCAGGAGGGAAUCUUCCGCAAUGGACGAAAGUCUGACGGAGCAACGCCGCGUGAGUGAGGAAGGCUUUCGGGUCGGAAAACUCUGUUGUUAGGGAAGAACAAGUGCUAGUUGAAUAAGCUGGCACCUUGACGGUACCUAACCAGAAAGCCACGGCUAACUACGUGCCAGCAGCCGCAGUAA